Molecule: ribosomal RNA, 508 nt
Filed under: uncultured bacterium
Lineage: Bacteria
Description: partial 16S ribosomal RNA
Rfam family: Bacterial small subunit ribosomal RNA
Source: RNAcentral
GAUGAACGCUAGCUACAGGCUUAACACAUGCAAGUCGAGGGGAAACGAUAUUGGAAGCUUGCUUCCGAUAGGCGUCGACCGGCGCACGAGUGAGUAACGCGUAUCCAACCUGCCCACCACUUGGGGAUAACCUUGCGAAAGUAAGACUAAUACCCAAUGAUAUCUCUAGAAGACAUCUGAAAGGGAUUAAAGAUUUAUCGGUGAUGGAUGGGGAUGCGUCUGAUUAGCUUGUUGGCGGGGUAACGGCCCACCAAGGCUACGAUCAGUAGGGGUUCUGAUAAGAAGUUCCCCCACAUUGGAACUGAGACACGGUCCAAACUCCUACGGGAGGCAGCAGUGAGGAAUAUUGGUCAAUGGGCGAGAGCCUGAACCAGCCAAGUAGCGUGCAGGAUGACGGCCCUAUGGGUUGUAAACUGCUUUUAUAAGGGAAUAAAGUGAGUCUCGUGAGACUUUUUGCAUGUACCUUAUGAAUAAGGACCGGCUAAUUCCGUGCCAGCAGCCGCCGUAA